This 305-nucleotide ribosomal RNA is filed under the name uncultured bacterium. RNAcentral's name for it is "bacterial SSU rRNA". It matches the Rfam family "Bacterial small subunit ribosomal RNA", at positions 333 to 656 of the family's 1533-position model. The record is from RNAcentral.
GGAUCCCUACGGGAGGCAGCAGUGAGGGAUAUUGGUCAAUGGGGGAAACCCUGAACCAGCAACGCCGCGUGAGGGAAGACGGUUUUCGGAUUGUAAACCUCUGUCCUCUGUGAAGAUAAUGACGGUAGCAGAGGAGGAAGCUCCGGCUAACUACGUGCCAGCAGCCGCGGUAAUACGUAGGGGGCGAGCGUUGUCCGGAUUUAUUGGGUUUAAAGGGUGCGUAGGCGGACUGUUAAGUCAGCGGUAAAAGCCCGGGGCUCAACCCCGGCGAGCCGUUGAAACUGGCUGUCUUGAGAUGUCGCGAG